RNAcentral lists this ribosomal RNA (450 nucleotides) under uncultured Leptolinea sp. RNAcentral describes it as "bacterial SSU rRNA". It matches the Rfam family "Bacterial small subunit ribosomal RNA", at positions 915 to 1382 of the family's 1533-position model. Lineage: Bacteria; Bacillati; Chloroflexota; Anaerolineae; Anaerolineales; Anaerolineaceae. The record is from RNAcentral.
GAGGGCCCGCACAAGCAGCGGAGCGUGUGGUUUAAUUCGAUGCUACACGAAGAACCUUACCAGGGUUUGACAUGCAAGCGGUAGGAACCGAAAGGCGACGACCUUCGGGAGCUUGCACAGGUGCUGCAUGGCUGUCGUCAGCUCGUGUCGUGAGAUGUUCGGUUAAGUCCGCUAACGAGCGCAACCCUCGCUGUGUGUUACAAGUGUCACACGGUACUGCCGGUCUUAAGCCGGAGGAAGGUGGGGAUGACGUCAAGUCAGCAUGGCCUUUAUGUCCUGGGCUACACACACGCUACAAUGGCCAACACAAUAGGUUGCUAAGCCGCGAGGUGGAGCCAAUCCUCAAAGUUGGUCUCAGUUCAGAUUGCAGGCUGCAACCCGCCUGCAUGAAGAUGGAGUUGCUAGUAACCGCAGGUCAGCUAUACUGCGGUGAAUACGUUCCCGGGGCUU